Molecule: unclassified non-coding RNA, 244 nt
Filed under: Hevea brasiliensis (rubber tree)
Lineage: Eukaryota; Viridiplantae; Streptophyta; Magnoliopsida; Malpighiales; Euphorbiaceae
Source: RNAcentral
GCCCUGUCCAUCACACAUUACUCAUACCAGUUACCAGGUGUUAAGGAUCUUGAGAUAUUGUUGUGUUUGCAAUCCUACCAUCCAUAGGACUCCUAUAUCCGGACUCCAAGUCCUGAUCUAAUACCAACUCCUAGUCCUAGCAGGAGACUAAAACAAAGACCUAUAUAAAGGGGCUAUCAAAUACACUUAUCUCAACUUGAAUCCAUUAAUCUCUUAUCAGUUCUCACACUGACUUAAGCAUCAA